Molecule: ribosomal RNA, 285 nt
Filed under: Triticum aestivum (bread wheat)
Lineage: Eukaryota; Viridiplantae; Streptophyta; Magnoliopsida; Poales; Poaceae
Description: partial small subunit ribosomal RNA
Source: RNAcentral
GCUACCCGUCUAAUUAUUAACUCGUAUAAUAUGGAGGUGAUCGAGAUCAUGAACGAAGGAGGACGAUCGUCGGGGACAGCAGCUGCAAUUUUUGAUGACUGUUUUCACUUAGCUUGCGAUUUUCCUAUUUCUAGAUUCGAGCAUUGUAAUAGAGAAGCAAAUAAAGUUGCUCAUGAACUUGCCAAGUUGGCUAGAUCUUCAUUCAUUUCUGAUUGGUUCGAGGAACCACAUAAUGCAAUUGUACCAAUCCUCAUAAACGAUGUAAUGAUUAUUUUUAAUGAAUAA